This is a small nuclear RNA of Eptesicus fuscus (big brown bat), 107 nucleotides long. Lineage: Eukaryota; Metazoa; Chordata; Mammalia; Chiroptera; Vespertilionidae. The record is from RefSeq and is a predicted model, not a curated record.
GUGCUUGCUUCGGCAGCACAUACACUAAAAUUGUAACAAUACAGAGAAGGUUAGCAUGGCCCCUGUGCAAGGAUGACAUGCAAAUUUGUGAGACGUUAAAAACAACA